UGUCCUACGGGAGGCAGCAGUAGGGAAUCUUCCACAAGGGGGGAAAGUCUGAUGGAGCAACGCCGCGUGAGUGAAGAAGGGUUUCGGCUCGUAAAACUCUGUUGUUAAAGAAGAACACUUCUGAGAGUAACUGUGCAGAAGUGACGGUCCAGCCGAA
This 157-nucleotide ribosomal RNA is filed under the name uncultured Lactobacillus sp. Its description in RNAcentral is "partial 16S ribosomal RNA". It matches the Rfam family "Bacterial small subunit ribosomal RNA", at positions 335 to 487 of the family's 1533-position model. Lineage: Bacteria; Bacillati; Bacillota; Bacilli; Lactobacillales; Lactobacillaceae. The record is from RNAcentral.